Nicotiana tabacum (common tobacco) is the source of this 219-nucleotide non-coding RNA. NCBI's taxonomy places the organism in Eukaryota, Viridiplantae, Streptophyta, Magnoliopsida, Solanales, Solanaceae. The record is from RefSeq and is a predicted model, not a curated record.
CCCUCACCAGUUCUCUGCCUCAUGACUCACGCAGUCACGCCCACACGACUGAGCCCGUCAAAACUCAGUUUUCUAUAUCUUUUUCCGGCAGAGCGUUGCACUAAGUGACACAAAAACAUGGCUGAAAAUAUCAUGAUUGAUAAGGUGAUUGGUGAAAGUGGAGCUUCUAAUUCAAAUGCCACAUCACAAUCUCAAUCAGUUCAAUCGAAAGCAAAAAAA